AACGAACGCUGGCGGCAUGCCUAACACAUGCAAGUCGAACGAGACCUUCGGGUCUAGUGGCGCACGGGUGCGUAACGCGUGGGAAUCUACCCUUGGGUUCGGAAUAACUCAGAGAAAUUUGAGCUAAUACCGGAUGAUGUCGCAAGACCAAAGAUUUAUCGCCCAAGGAUGAGCCCGCGUAGGAUUAGCUUGUUGGUGAGGUAAAAGCUCACCAAGGCGACGAUCCUUAGCUGGUCUGAGAGGAUGAUCAGCCACACUGGGACUGAGACACGGCCCAGACUCCUACGGGAGGCAGCAGUGGGGAAUAUUGGACAAUGGGCGAAAGCCUGAUCCAGCAAUGCCGCGUGAGUGAUGAAGGCCUUAGGGUUGUAAAGCUCUUUUACCCGGGAUGAUAAUGACAGUACCGGGAGAAUAAGCCCGGCUAACUCCGUGCCAGCAGCCGCGGUAAU
RNAcentral lists this ribosomal RNA (449 nucleotides) under uncultured bacterium. RNAcentral's name for it is "bacterial SSU rRNA". It matches the Rfam family "Bacterial small subunit ribosomal RNA", at positions 29 to 524 of the family's 1533-position model. The record is from RNAcentral.